This 555-nucleotide ribosomal RNA is filed under the name Penicillium polonicum. Its description in RNAcentral is "eukaryotic LSU rRNA". The stretch from base 176 to 328 matches the Rfam family "5.8S ribosomal RNA". Lineage: Eukaryota; Fungi; Ascomycota; Eurotiomycetes; Eurotiales; Aspergillaceae. The record is from RNAcentral.
GGGGCUCGAUGAGACUUUGGGUCACCUCCCACCCGUGUUUAUUUUACCUUGUUGCUUCGGCGGGCCCGCCUUUACUGGCCGCCGGGGGGCUCACGCCCCCGGGCCCGCGCCCGCCGAAGACACCCCCGAACUCUGUCUGAAGAUUGAAGUCUGAGUGAAAAUAUAAAUUAUUUAAAACUUUCAACAACGGAUCUCUUGGUUCCGGCAUCGAUGAAGAACGCAGCGAAAUGCGAUACGUAAUGUGAAUUGCAAAUUCAGUGAAUCAUCGAGUCUUUGAACGCACAUUGCGCCCCCUGGUAUUCCGGGGGGCAUGCCUGUCCGAGCGUCAUUGCUGCCCUCAAGCCCGGCUUGUGUGUUGGGCCCCGUCCUCCGAUUCCGGGGGACGGGCCCGAAAGGCAGCGGCGGCACCGCGUCCGGUCCUCGAGCGUAUGGGGCUUUGUCACCCGCUCUGUAGGCCCGGCCGGCGCUUGCCGAUCAACCCAAAUUUUUAUCCAGGUUGACCUCGGAUCAGGUAGGGAUACCCGCUGAACUUAAGCAUAUCAAUAAGCGGAGGAA